RNAcentral lists this unclassified non-coding RNA (408 nucleotides) under soil metagenome. RNAcentral describes it as "partial contains 5.8S ribosomal RNA, internal transcribed spacer 2, and large subunit ribosomal RNA". The stretch from base 1 to 120 matches the Rfam family "5.8S ribosomal RNA", at positions 35 to 154 of the family's 154-position model. The record is from RNAcentral.
GAUGAAGAACGUAGCGAAAUGCGAUACGUAAUGUGAAUUGCAGAAUUCAGUGAAUCAUCGAGUCUUUGAACGCACCUUGCGCUCCUUGGCAUUCCGAGGAGCAUGCCUGUUUGAGUGUCAUUAAAUUCUCAAGACCUGUCUGCUUUUUUGAUAGGUAUUGGAUUUUGGGGGUUGCAGGCUGUUUCAAAUAAAUAGCCUUGCUCUCCUUGAAUGUAUUAGUGGAGAAAAGCCAUUGAACUCCAUUGGUGUGAUAAAACCUAUCAAUGCCAGGAGCAAUAUCACUACUUCUCUCUGCUGUCUAACUGUGACUGUCUGUAUUAAUUAGUAUGGAUGGGGACAACUUGACCAACUUGACCUCAAAUCAGGUAGGACUACCCGCUGAACUUAAGCAUAUCAAUAAGCGGAGGA